UGAAGUUUACAUAACUUGUUUUACAUUAUGUUCUAUCCCUCUGUGCACCAACAGUCAGGCAAUUCUAAUGACAAUGUGAGUGUGCCAUGGGUGAGAGGGUGUGUGCCCCACAAUUCAGAGAAAGGAACAAGUGAGAGUUUUAUACAUCUUGUCUAACUGUUGGUUCCCACAGCCGGGAGUUCGUACACAGCAACAGUGAGGAUACUUUAACAAUGAAUGUAGGGUAAAAGC
Non-coding RNA from Pelobates cultripes (western spadefoot toad), 231 nucleotides. NCBI's taxonomy places the organism in Eukaryota, Metazoa, Chordata, Amphibia, Anura, Pelobatidae. The record is from the annotation of a GenBank genome assembly.